This is a non-coding RNA of Chrysemys picta bellii (western painted turtle), 1333 nucleotides long. The record is from RefSeq and is a predicted model, not a curated record. NCBI's taxonomy places the organism in Eukaryota, Metazoa, Chordata, Testudines, Emydidae.
UACAGGCUUCCCCGGCAGAGUUUUCCUCGCAGCCUGAGCAGCUAGAGAGAAGUCAGACCAGCAGCUCCCCAGCUCGCUGCUCCUCUCCUCUCCGGCACUCACAUACCUGCACUACCUCUCUCUUUCCUCCUCCUGCUUCUUUGCCUUUUUGCGCCCCUCUGUCCCCUCCCCUUUGGCAGCUGGCUCCCUUUUCCGACAGAGACUGGGAUCAGAUUACACUGUGUUUCCUGGACCCACCUGCGACUUCCCAAGUGGAUGUAAAAGGCUUCCAAACACCUAACUCGCUGUAGGAAGCUCUAUCAGCUGCUGGGCUGUGACCGGGCGGGACCCGCUGCUGCCGCAUGCCCUGCUCCUAGGGCUGCCACAGAACUAGGAGACCCUUGGAGGUUCUGCUUGGAGGGAUCUGGCUUUGGGAGACUGGAGCUGAAAUCAGCAAGGAGAGGGCAUGUCACUUUAACAGCACAACAGACCGUGGUGUUGUGAUGACAGCAGCGCGGCUCAAGCCCGCGGGAGCCUUGAAGAGCCUUGGUUUUCGAAGGAAUCAUGAAAACUGACUUCUUCAAGAAUGAAAUCAGCAAGGAAACCAGUCCCAUUUGUAAGAUGGUAUGAAAAUAACUAAAAAUCUUGCAGAUUCUUUCAAGAUGAGUGGCCUUUUGGCCUAAAUACACAUUGGUCACUGCGUUCAUCACUGAAGGAAGAAUAAAAUGGAUAAAAAUUCCACCACAAUCACCAGACUGGAAGCUCAUUGAAGUGGUUUGGCACAAGAUGCACCACCUGCAUGCACAUAUUAAACUACUCCACAGGAUGAAUUGUUGGGUGGUAUCCACAAAUACCGAAUACGAUUUUAACUUGGGAAUUUGUAAACAAGUGCAUGGACCUUACUGACAAAGAACUGCCAGCAAAAAUCUAACCAAACUAUUCUAAAGAUAUUUCUCAAGAAUAAGAAAUAUUGCCAGUUGCUUCCUCAAUGUCUAGCUUGUGUCUCACUGGUCCCCCCUCUCCUUCCCGCCCUCCCCCUGAUCUAUUACACCACAGAUUUUGUUAUGCGGGACAGAACACAAAGCCCAGUGGGGGCUGGGGGAGCUUUAAACUAUCUUUGCACCCUUCUUAUCUGGGCUGCUGCAGAGUUUGGCCCCCAGAGCAUUUUGGGUAGCCCUACAGGCCUGCCUAAAUUAUGGCAACCUGUCCCCAGCUGCCUCUGGGUGGAAGAACCACCAAUAUUAGCUGCAACACUACAUGCUGUAGUCUUGCCCUUGCUUACCUCCAAAACACCCCUCCUGGCCAGGGCCGGCUCCAGGCACCAGCUUACCAAGCAGCUGCUUGGGGCAGCCAC